UACGGGGGGGGCAAGCGUUGUUCGGAAUUACUGGGCGUAAAGGGCGCGUAGGCGGUUUGUUAAGUUGGAUGUGAAAACUCUGGGCUUAACCCAGAGCCUGCAUCCAAAACUAGCAGGCUAGAGUUCUGGAGGGGAUAGCGGAAUUCCUGGUGUAGCGGUGAAAUGCGUAGAUAUCGAGAGGAACACCUGCGGCGAAGGCGGGUUGCUGGGCUGAUACUGACGCUGAGGCGCGAAAGCCAGGGGAGCGAACGGG
Molecule: ribosomal RNA, 253 nt
Filed under: uncultured bacterium
Lineage: Bacteria
Description: partial 16S ribosomal RNA
Rfam family: Bacterial small subunit ribosomal RNA
Source: RNAcentral